CCGGCGACCGGCGCACGGGUGAGUAACACGUAUGCAACCUGGCCGUCACAGGUGGAUAACCGGAAGAAAUUCCGACUAAUACAGCAUAACACUCCUGAGGGACAUCCCUUGGGAGUCAAAGGAGGCAACUCCGGUGACGGAUGGGCAUGCGGCGCGUUAGGUAGUUGGUAGGGUAACGGCCUACCAAGCCGACGAUGCGUAGGGGUUCUGAGAGGAAGGUCCCCCACAUUGGAACUGAGACACGGUCCAAACUCCUACGGGAGGCAGCAG
RNAcentral lists this ribosomal RNA (270 nucleotides) under uncultured bacterium. RNAcentral describes it as "partial 16S ribosomal RNA". It matches the Rfam family "Bacterial small subunit ribosomal RNA", at positions 88 to 354 of the family's 1533-position model. The record is from RNAcentral.